UUCUUACCCAAAUAUGAGCCCAAUGGUUCACGGCGAGGCAGAUCUGGACGACGAUUUGCUUUCCGAGGGAGGCACGACGGUUGUGAGCGGAGAGGCACGGCGGUUACAGGCGGAUGGGCGCGACGGUUUAGAUCUGAAGAAGAAAAGAGAGGGUGGCGGUUGGGUUCGGCGAGCGGCGGCGGUUUUGCUUCGCGAACGGAGAUGGAGACGGCAGAUCGGCGCGCGGGACGACUGCAACGCAG
Molecule: long non-coding RNA, 242 nt
Filed under: Cucumis sativus (cucumber)
Lineage: Eukaryota; Viridiplantae; Streptophyta; Magnoliopsida; Cucurbitales; Cucurbitaceae
Description: long non-coding RNA (CSAT_LNC001060)
Source: RNAcentral